UGGCUUUGGUGGGAAGUAUGAACUUGGAUUUGGUUAACAAAUUGACAAAGCCAGAUGGGAGCCUUGCUGCUGGUGGGCAGUCAGUCUCAGCUGGGGAAUUUUCAGGUAAGACCUUAAUCAGGGCUGCUUGCCCUGAGGGUCUUCCCUUCAAGAUUACCAAAAUGGAACUGGCGGCCCCAGGGCGUGGCAAUGGGAGCCGGGAAUAUCCUGGGAAUAUCCAGGAAAUAUGGACUCAGUACAGUAGGGCAUGUUCUUUGCCACUAGGGCCACCUGGGAAGCAUCCUGUUGGAAAGAGAAAAUAGUUCUUGGACUUCUACCUGAUUUGUGAACAGACUAAUGUCAAAUGGAGGAAAGGAACAACAGCAACAACAAAAAACCUAUCUGUUUUUGUCUGAAAGCAGGAUAUUCUCAGGGAGAAGAUAAAGUUUCCACUUGGUUCCUAAAAUCACCCAAAACCCCAUCCCAG
Molecule: long non-coding RNA, 466 nt
Organism: Bubalus bubalis (water buffalo)
Lineage: Eukaryota; Metazoa; Chordata; Mammalia; Artiodactyla; Bovidae
Exons: 3
Source: RefSeq, a predicted model, not a curated record